Long non-coding RNA from Harmonia axyridis, 1812 nucleotides. RefSeq lists it as uncharacterized. NCBI's taxonomy places the organism in Eukaryota, Metazoa, Arthropoda, Insecta, Coleoptera, Coccinellidae. The transcript has 3 exons. The record is from RefSeq and is a predicted model, not a curated record.
CGGACUUUCAGGUUUCAUAUAUUCUUUAUAUUACACUGACCAUUCUCACUAGUAUAAAUCAAGACAUAAUUUGAAACGUAUCUAUAGCUACCUCAAGAAUAAUCCUUCUUCGGCACAUAUGUAGAUCAGAUUUUUUACUAAAUUUCGGAAUUGAAUGAAAUGUGUAGAGUGCAAAUAUUCAUACAUUCAACGAUAUAUUUUGCCCCCUUCAUCUAUAUGAAGAGUGGAAAUUAUAAAUGGAGUGAAAAGCCAUCCAAUGGAACAGAGUUUGAUAAGGUUACAUUUUCUUAACGGAGGUAUCUAUGGCACCUCUCAGAAGCUAAGAGCUUGUACGAGUUAGGAGGAUCGUUUAGAUUAUGUGUAGGCUUUGUUACUAUGUCCUUAUUCCUGCGAUAUAACAUAUAUCGUAAUAGCAGAAUAUAAAGAAGUACCUUCCAGCAAUUUGGAGGAAAAUCACGAAUCCAGUCAUAGAUCAACGUCGUUAGGCCUUCAGAUGUGGUUUCAGCAUAGAGUGAAUGGUUUCCUGUCGAAAAAGUUCAUUAUUGGUUACGGAAAUGAACUCAUUUUUCAUCGUCUGAUGGAGACUAAUUCAGAAAAAGGCGGAAAGAAGGCGUAGAAAAUCAUUGCCAACUGAGCUAUCGAAAGAAACUGAUGGAAUAUGGAAUGGCGCAUGCACUUGCUGUAUUCAAAGAAAGUGUCUACAGUCGACAAGAUAAGUUUUCUUUCUAAAAUCAAUCCUAUUUUCUACUGAAAUUAAGUCACUGGCAUUGAUUUUUUAACGGAAUGAAGACAUUUCGAAAAUACUCUUACUUAGUUAAUUGAACAAUGACCUAUGUGAAUUGAACGUCACAUUUUGAUACAAGUAUAAUUUUGUUGUGUUUCAACCAUGAAAAUGUAGGUAAAUUGUAACUGCAAUUGUAAUGAAAGAAUUAAAAAAUAGUUUCCCACGGUUCAACAAAUCAAAUGAGUAUGAAGUCAUAUUUUGAUACGGCAGUUAGAAUUCAGCUACGCUUCAACAAUAAAAAUUUACUUAUCGAAUUCAAAAUUUAUAAUAUAUUGAAUGAAAUUUAAUGAAUAAUUCGGGACUUAUUCAUGAUUUUCGUAAUCAAAUUCGUACUUCGAUAUGUCAUUUGAAAUUUUUCACGCAAAACUAGAUCCAAUUUUGAUUGAAGGAUAUUCAGAUCUGAAUUUCGAUCAAUAUGACAACAGGCACUUUCGUAGAAGAUCAGUCGGUGGGAUUUCGAUGUAAAAAAUGAAUUGAACGUUAACUGGCAGUUAUUCCAUAUCCACUUUAAAUUAUAUGUACUAUUCACAUUGAUAAAAAUAUUUUAUACUAUUUAUUUAUUAUACAGCGCAACAAUAUACAGGUUGUUCCUAAAUUGGAGGUACAAACCAUAGAACAAGUAUGUAUAGAAUGGAAACUCUCAUGAUAAAAUUGACACUGCUUUCAGCGACCUCAUGCGGUUAUUUAUGAAAUUAUAAAAUGAGCACGCGAAAAUUUGAAAUGCUUAGAAUCGAAAAUACUUUAAUUCAAUUCGAGAUUUCGAAUGUGAAAAUAAACAACGUACGAAAAUAAGGUAAUAAGCCUUUCCUUUUGAAUAAGGUAUAUUACCAUUAUAUUUCUGUACGAGUUCUUUCACAUCCAAUAUAUUUGACAAGAUAAGAGGCUUAAGUUCAGAGAAAACAAAGUCAUAUAAAAAAAUCAUCUAUUUAAAGUUUUACAUUUUUCAAAUAUUUCUAGUAUGCCAAAUUUUUAAUUGGGUCACACAUAACUCCAGAAGUUUUGAAUUUUGUAUCAGUGCCCUUCACAAU